RNAcentral lists this ribosomal RNA (230 nucleotides) under uncultured bacterium. Its description in RNAcentral is "partial 16S ribosomal RNA". It matches the Rfam family "Bacterial small subunit ribosomal RNA", at positions 567 to 791 of the family's 1533-position model. The record is from RNAcentral.
ACGUGCGCAGGCGGUUAUGUAAGACAGAUGUGAAAUCCCCGGGCCGUCAACCUGGGAACUGCAUUUGUGACUGCAUGGCUAGAGUACGGUAGAGGGGGAGUGGAAUUCCGCGUGUAGCAGUGAAAUGCGUAGAUAUGUGGAGGAACACCGAUGGCGAAGGCAGCCCCCUGGGUCAAGAUUGACGCUCAUGCACGAAAGCGUGGGGAGCAAACAGGAUUAGAUACCCUAGU